Molecule: transfer RNA, 75 nt
Organism: Operophtera brumata (winter moth)
Lineage: Eukaryota; Metazoa; Arthropoda; Insecta; Lepidoptera; Geometridae
Rfam family: tRNA
About the family: Transfer RNA (tRNA) molecules are approximately 80 nucleotides in length. Their secondary structure includes four short double-helical elements and three loops (D, anti-codon, and T loops).
Source: Rfam
UGUUCUAUGGCCAAACUGGUAAAAAGGCAUUGCCGAUCACAGGCAAGGUUGCGGGUUCGAGUCCCGCUGGAACGG